CCUACGGGAGGCAGCAGUGGGGAAUAUUGCACAAUGGGCGCAAGCCUGAUGCAGCCAUGCCGCGUGUGUGAAGAAGGCCUUCGGGUUGUAAAGCACUUUCAGCGGGGAGGAAGGCGUUAAGGUUAAUAACCUUGGCGAUUGACGUUACCCGCAGAAGAAGCACCGGCUAACUCCGUGCCAGCAGUCGCGGUAAUACGGAGGGUGCAAGCGUUAAUCGGAAUUACUGGGCGUAAAGCGCACGCAGGCGGUCUGUCAAGUCGGAUGUGAAAUCCCCGGGCUCAACCUGGGAACUGCACUCGAAACUGGCAGGCUAGAGUCUUGUAGAGGGGGGUAGAAUUCCAGGUGUAGCGGUGAAAUGCGUAGAGAUCUGGAGGAAUACCGGUGGCGAAGGCGGCCCCCUGGACAAAGACUGACGCUCAGGUGCGAAAGCGUGGGGAGCAAACAGGAUUAGAUACCCUGGUAGUC
RNAcentral lists this ribosomal RNA (465 nucleotides) under uncultured Klebsiella sp. Its description in RNAcentral is "bacterial SSU rRNA". It matches the Rfam family "Bacterial small subunit ribosomal RNA", at positions 338 to 795 of the family's 1533-position model. The record is from RNAcentral. Lineage: Bacteria; Pseudomonadati; Pseudomonadota; Gammaproteobacteria; Enterobacterales; Enterobacteriaceae.